Molecule: ribosomal RNA, 253 nt
Filed under: uncultured bacterium
Lineage: Bacteria
Description: partial 16S ribosomal RNA
Rfam family: Bacterial small subunit ribosomal RNA
Source: RNAcentral
UACGGAGGGUGCAAGCGUUAUCCGGAUUCACUGGGUUUAAAGGGUGCGUAGGUGGGUAGGUAAGUCAGUGGUGAAAUCUCCGUGCUUAACAUGGAAACUGCCAUUGAUACUAUAGGUCUUGAAUUUUCUGGAGGUAAGCGGAAUAUGUCAUGUAGCGGUGAAAUGCUUAGAUAUGACAUAGAACACCAAUUGCGAAGGCAGCUUGCUACAGGGAUAUUGACACUGAGGCACGAAAGCGUGGGGAUCAAACAGG